Molecule: ribosomal RNA, 255 nt
Filed under: uncultured bacterium
Lineage: Bacteria
Description: partial 16S ribosomal RNA
Rfam family: Bacterial small subunit ribosomal RNA
Source: RNAcentral
UACGGGAGGGGCAAGCGUUAUUCAUCAUAAACGGGCGUAAAGAGCUCGUAGGCGGCUUAGCAAGUCAGGUGUGAAACCUCCAGGCUCAACCUGGAGACGCCACUUGAUACUGCUAUGGCUUGAGUUUGGUAGGGGAAGACGGAAUUCCUGGUGUAGCGGUGAAAUGCGCAGAUAUCAGAGAGGAACACCGAUGGCGAAGGCAGUCUUCUGGGCCAAAACUGACGCUGAGGAGCGAAAGCGUGGGGAGCGAACAGG